Molecule: ribosomal RNA, 369 nt
Filed under: uncultured bacterium
Lineage: Bacteria
Description: bacterial SSU rRNA
Rfam family: Bacterial small subunit ribosomal RNA
Source: RNAcentral
GGGCCCGCACAAGCGGUGGAGUAUGUGGUUUAAUUCGAUGCAACGCGAAGAACCUUACCAGGGUUUGACAUCCUGCGAAUCUCUUGGAAACAGGAGAGUGCCUUCGGGAACGCAGUGACAGGUGGUGCAUGGCUGUCGUCAGCUCGUGUCGUGAGAUGUUGGGUUAAGUCCCGCAACGAGCGCAACCCACGUCUUUAGUUGCCAGCAUUUAGUUGGGCACUCUAGAGAGACUGCCGGUGAUAAACCGGAGAAGGUGUGGAUGACGUCAAGUCAUCAUGCCCCUUACAUCUGGGCUACACACGUACUACAAUGGCCGAGACAAAGAGUUGCAAGUCUGCGAAGGCAAGCUAAUCUCAUAAACUCGGUCUC